Molecule: RNA transcript, 1473 nt
Organism: Pseudomyrmex gracilis
Lineage: Eukaryota; Metazoa; Arthropoda; Insecta; Hymenoptera; Formicidae
Exons: 3
Source: RefSeq, a predicted model, not a curated record
ACUUUAUAUUAAUGUCAUUAUAACGUCAGCUGGUUGCCUGGGAUUUGAAUGUGUUGUAACAUAAAAAAAGGAAGAAUUCUAAAUAAUGGCGACGAACGGUCAGGACGAAGUAACGCUUAUCGAGAAAUUGAAGGACAGCGAAAAUUUUUCCUUGUAAAAAUUUCAAGUUUCUAUUCUAUUUAAGGCACUUGGAUUAUACGAGAUAGUGACAGGAUUAUCUGUGUUGACGGAAGGAAUCACGGAACAAGCUAAAACAGAAUGGAUCAAAAAGGAUGCACGUGCUCAAAAAAUAAUAAUAACAACGGAGAGAGGCAACUUUUGACGCACAUUAAUUUGUAAAACAUUGUGUGAAAUGUUUAAGCGUAUUUGUGCAAUGUAUGAAAGAGACACACAACAACAAAAAUGUUUAUUACUUCAGGAAUUUUUCAAUUUUUUUUGUCAGAAAGGUUCUGAUAUUGGCUCACACGUGAGUAAGCUUGAAGCAUUAGCAUAUAAACUAAAAAUACUGAUUGUUGAUAUUGAUGAAACUAUGCUUAUAUCGAAAAUACUUGCAACGUUGCCUGAAAAGUUUAAACACUUUGUUUCUGCAUGGGAUUCCACAGGUCAAGAAGAAAAGACACUUUCUAACCUUAUUUUUAGGUUAUUGUUAGAAGAAAAUAGAACAUUAGCAGCGGAUCAAACAAGAAGCUGUAGCAUUUAAAACAAGCGAGAAAAAAUGCUACAAGUGCAAUAACCCAGGUCAUUUUGCGAAAGCAUUGUUCCUCAAAAAGAAGAAUUGAGAGAAAAGUGGAUCAGUAUAAUAGGACAUCGAGUUCCUAAAAGCAGUUCUGUUUGCAGUGACCAUUUCACAGACACUGACUUUAGAUAUAAGGUAAUAAAAGAUGUGCCAAAAAGAUACUUACUACCUGAUGCUGUUCCCAGUUUACUUUAUCCGAUACAACAAACAAUGAUACUUACAAGUAGUAAAUCGUUACGUGAAAAGAAUACUGAACAAGCAGUUGGUAACAGUGAUAUUAAUGAUAAAUAUCCUACAUCAGAGGUUGAUUUAAAACAAUCUGCUGUUUCCAGUCCAGCAGCAUUAAUUGAAACAAUAAUUAGCAGUAAUACUAAUGAUAAAUAUCCUACAUCAGAGAUUGAUUCAAAACAAUCUGCUGUUUCCAGUUCAGCAGCAUUAAUUGAAACAAUAAUUAGCAGUGAUAUUAAUGAUAAAUAUCUUAUAUCAGAGGUUGAUUCGAAACAAUCUGCUGUUUCCAGUCCAGCAGCAUUAAUUAAUGAAGAUCACUAAUUAAUAAAGAUUAUAUAUAUAAUAUCACAAUCGUUUUGUUGUAUUUAACAAUCAAUAGAUACGUAAUUCAUGGAAAUACUAUUUCUUAAGCUAUGUUUUUUUUUAUUUAAAAUCAAUUAUAUGGAAAGUUAUUAUAGAGAGUUAUUUUAUAAAGUUUUAUAAACUCGGAAAAAAAUGGAUUAGAUCUA